Mangifera indica (mango) is the source of this 427-nucleotide long non-coding RNA. RefSeq lists it as uncharacterized. The transcript has 2 exons. Lineage: Eukaryota; Viridiplantae; Streptophyta; Magnoliopsida; Sapindales; Anacardiaceae. The record is from RefSeq and is a predicted model, not a curated record.
AAAAGACAGUUGCUGCAAAGAAAGUUGCUCAGCAUGAAAAAUGGAGGAUCAGAUAGGCUCUUCUGCAUCAUCAAUCGCCUUUAACCACCACCGAAACCAAGGCAAAACAAGAAAUGUCAGGCAUCAAGGUAGAUUGUCUAUACUUUGCAACUUAUUGAAGGAAGGGAAGGUUUUCGCUACUUAAAUCAUUCUUCGUUGGCCUGACAAAGAAGGUGACAGCCAGAAGUGAGAAAGAAGCCACAGAAGCUGAUCUGCAGACUGCCAAGACGCAGGUUGAAGCUACUGAUGAAGCUGUGGAUACCAAGAAGAGACUUCAUAAGCCCAUGUAAAUUCUCCACUUAAAAACCAUUCUUCAUGGCAAUCAAAUUACCCAGAACUUAAUUUUAACGCUGCAUUUAUGUAAAUACACAUACGUGGUUAAUUUUCA